This 606-nucleotide ribosomal RNA is filed under the name uncultured bacterium. RNAcentral describes it as "bacterial SSU rRNA". The stretch from base 1 to 530 matches the Rfam family "Bacterial small subunit ribosomal RNA", at positions 338 to 873 of the family's 1533-position model. The record is from RNAcentral.
CCUACGGGAGGCAGCAGUAAGGAAUAUUGGUCAAUGGACGCAAGUCUGAACCAGCCAUGCCGCGUGAAGGAUGAAUGCCCUCUGGGUUGUAAACUUCUUUUAUAGGGGACGAAAAGGGUCUUUUCAGAUCAACUGACGGUACCCUAGGAAUAAGCACCGGCUAACUCCGUGCCAGCAGCCGCGGUAAUACGGAGGGUGCAAGCGUUAUCCGGAUUUACUGGGUUUAAAGGUGCGUAGGUGGGUUGGUAAGUCAGCGGUGAAAUCUUCGAGCUUAACUCGGAAACUGCCAUUGAUACUAUCAGCCUUGAAUAUCCUGGAGGUGAGCGGAAUAUGUCAUGUAGCGGUGAAAUGCUUAGAUAUGACAUAGAACACCAAUUGCGAAGGCAGCUCACUACGGGAUUAUUGACACUGAGGCACGAAAGCGUGGGGAUCAAACAGGAUUAGAUACCCUGGUAGUCCACGCCCUAAACGAUGGAUACUCGACAUUUGCGAUAUACAGUAAGUGUCUGNGNGAGANAUAGUAUACCACCGAGGAGUAAGUAGUGNGAGAGUUAGUUAAGUAAGAAGUUAGAGNGNGAGAGNGCGAGGACGACGACGAGGGAGAGG